UAGGCCUUCCUUGGAAUAGGAUUGAGGAAGUGCUCAGAAGGUUCUUGAAUGUUGACAUGUUACCAAGCCUGCGCUAUGUGGGGCCUGAGGUGCGUCAUCUGAUAGUGUUUCCUCAAAGGGACAGGAAAAUCUUCCUUCACUAAGAUGAGAAGACAGGCAGUGGUGAGAAGCCGUUGGUGUACUGGAGAAGACGGGAGCAGGAGGAGCUCUGAAGGCCAUGUUUAUGGCUCCAAGUUUCCAAACAAACACAGAAGUGGGAUUCUGUGGCUGUGCUUUCUGAUUUCUCACUGGAAUCAUCGGCCAUGGGUCUUUCUGUGCAGCUCCUGUUACCAAGCACCCACCCACUCCAUGCUGGGCUCUGUCAUGUGAGGCCAUUGGCCUCAUCUGUAACUGGCACUCCAUAAGGUAACUGCUGUUAUCCCCACUUUACAGAUGAGAGAUUUGAGGCUUGAUGAGGGACAAGCUCUUGCCCACUUCUAAAUUCCAGUAGGAGGCAGAACUGGAACCAAAGCCUCAGUCACAGGCCCAGGAGCCUUCUCCUUACACACAUGAGAGCUUGUCCCCAGGGAGGCGACCACAGGAUGGUGCUCGGGAUGCCGACCCACUCAGCUGGCCUUGCAGCUCCACGUGAUCUUCAUGCUCUGGGCUGUUUCCAUGCUUACACGAGAGCGAGGUCAAAAACCCAUUUCUCAUCUGGGCGCAGUGACUCACGCCUGUAAUCCCAGCACUUUGUGAGGGUGAGGCGCGCGGAUCACUGAGGACAGGAGUUCAAGACCAGCCUGGCCAACAUGGUGAAACCUCAUCUCUACUAAAAAUACAAAAACUAGCCAGGUGUAGCUGUGCAUGCCUAUGGUCCCAGCUACCUGGGUGGCUGAGGCAUGAGAAUCGCUUGAACCUGGGAGGCAGAUGUUGCUGUGAGCCAAAAUUGCCCCACACACUUCCAAUUUGGGUGACAGAGUGAGACCCUAUCUCAAAAAAAUAAAAACAAGCAAACAAACAAAAACGAUGUAUCUUUUCCUUACAGUCCCGCCUGCUCUCCUGAGGUGUGCUUGGACUGUUUAUAAGGUAUCACCGCCUCUCAAACACCCUUGCUAGUUCUAGGGAACUGGAUCCCUCCCUUGCUGGGAGGGGUUGGUGUAGAACUGAGUGGAGGAGACAGGAGGAGGAGGAGGGCUGUGGCUGGCCUCACCUUGGUCUUGCACCUUCAGGCUUCAGGAUACGCACUGGAAAUGUUAGGAGAGUGAGCCUGCUGGGGAUGAGGCAUUUUAAUUCCUGGUACUCCAGACAGUGGAGAUCUUGAUAUGCAGCCUCCAGGAAGGGGAAACCCUGCCUUUCUCCAAGCUCUGUUUGGAAGGGAAUAGUGGGCAGAUGGGCUCUCUUGCCUGGGAAAACUGACUUCUCUUGGUUCAGGUGAGUGUAAUCAUUCCUCUACUUUUGGCCUUGACAGUUGUCCUUAUCUGGACAUGUAACAUCAAUGGAAUCAACACAGCAUGAACUUCCGUGUCUGCUCCUUUCAUUCAGCCUAAUGUUUUUGAGGUUAAACCCUGUGUGGCAUGCACUGGUUCUUUGAUUCUUUUCAGUAACAAAUAAUAUUCCUGGGGCCAAUUGCGUGCAUUUUGUAGUUUUUAAAGAAACAUUAAGUUUUAGUUUUACUUAAUAUCUUAUGAUUGCCCAAUCUCCUAAGUGAUAUCUUUAGUUUGUAUGCAUUAGGUGCUAUGAAGUUCUAUGGGUUUUGACCAAAUGCCCAGGGUCAUGUAUCCACCAUUUCAGUAUAAGAAUAGUUCCACUGCUCUAAAGUCCCCAAUGCUUCAUGCAUUCAGCCCUCCCCCUCUCUGAACCCCAGCAAACACUGCUGUUUGCCAACUUACCUCUGUAGUUUUGACUUGCCCAGGAUGUUGCAUAGUUAGAAUAAUUAAGGAUGUAGCCCUUUCAGACUAACGUCUUUCACUUAGCAAUAUGUCUUGAUAGCUCAUUCCUAUUUACCCCUGAAUACUGUUCCACUGUACGGAUGCACCACAG
Long non-coding RNA from Callithrix jacchus (white-tufted-ear marmoset), 2019 nucleotides. The record is from Ensembl. NCBI's taxonomy places the organism in Eukaryota, Metazoa, Chordata, Mammalia, Primates, Cebidae.